GGAAUUUUGGACAAUGGGCGAAAGCCUGAUCCAGCAAUGCCGCGUGUAGGAUGAAGGCCCUCGGGUUGUAAACUACUUUUGUACGGAACGAAAAGACACCUUCUAAUACAGGGUGUCGAUGACGGUACCGUAAGAAUAAGCACCGGCUAACUACGUGCCAGCAGCCGCGGUAAUACGUAGGGUGCAAGCGUUAAUCGGAAUUACUGGGCGUAAAGCGUGCGCAGGCGGUUAUGUAAGACAGAGGUGAAAUCCCCGGGCUCAACCUGGGAACGGCCUUUGUGACUGCAUAGCUAGAGUACGGUAGAGGGGGAUGGAAUUCCGCGUGUAGCAGUGAAAUGCGUAGAUAUGCGGAGGAACACCGAUGGCGAAGGCAAUCCCCUGGACCUGUACUGACGCUCAUGCACGAAAGCGUGGGGAGCAAACAGGAUUAGAUACCCCAG
RNAcentral lists this ribosomal RNA (440 nucleotides) under uncultured Comamonas sp. RNAcentral describes it as "bacterial SSU rRNA". It matches the Rfam family "Bacterial small subunit ribosomal RNA", at positions 358 to 790 of the family's 1533-position model. The record is from RNAcentral. Lineage: Bacteria; Pseudomonadati; Pseudomonadota; Betaproteobacteria; Burkholderiales; Comamonadaceae.